Molecule: long non-coding RNA, 1934 nt
Organism: Carya illinoinensis
Lineage: Eukaryota; Viridiplantae; Streptophyta; Magnoliopsida; Fagales; Juglandaceae
Exons: 2
Source: RefSeq, a predicted model, not a curated record
CUCUCCCGCGCCGCACCCCCUUCCCAUUCGCUCUCUCUCUCGUCGGCUCCAUCCCAGGCCAUUGUCGCCGCCAUCGAGCAUGACCACCUCACCGGACCCAGCCACCCCACCCCACCCCACGCCUCCCUCUCCCUCUCUUCCCUUUCUCUCUCCCCGAGGCAAGCCCAAACCGAGUCCCUCACUCGGUUCCCUGUCGUCGCGAGUCAAUCUGACGCCAGCAGUUGAGCUGCACCACCACCAGCAGCCCCCCACCUCACCAACGACCCGCUUCCUCCCUUUCCCACAGCCGAAGCCCCCAAAUUUCCGUCUCCCUCGCACGCUCCAUCUCCCUCUCGGCAUUCUCUUCAUCACGGCCCAGAUCCGCCGCUAGGCCCACCGUGAGCCACCUCGACUGUCUCAACUCCUGCCUCCCUCGCGUUCUCUCUCUCACGGAUUCCCUGUGCACAGAUUGGUUUUCCCUGCCGCCGUGAGCCACAAUCGCCGCCUCUAGCCACAACGCCGCACCACCACGAGCAACCCACAGACACAGCAGUACCUCCCGCACGCUUUUAUUCACUGUAGAAGCCCUUAAGUAUGGUAAAAUCCUACCUUUAUAUAUUUAGAGUAAAUGGACGUUUAUAUAUAUCGUGGUGUUUAUUGUUUAGACAGAUUUAUAUUCAUGAAUAUGUAGUAUUUUGGUUGUGUUGUUGUGAAAGUCGGAGGAGAAACAGAAUGGUUGCGAUAUUGUUGUUGGAUUGUGAAGUGUUGGGUCUUGUGUUGUAGUUGUGAAGUGUUGGGUUUUGUGUUAUACUUGGUUGGAAUUGUAUUGAGCCAUGAUGAAUUGAAUAUGCGUGUUGUAUUUAUUAUGAGGGUUGGGAUUGAAAUAUAGAUCUGUGGUACUCCAUUACAUGCUGAUUUGCAGGGGUGUGGGAAAGGGCAAGUAUUAAUUUCCUACUAAAUGCUUGUUUGCAGUUUUGGUUGGCAUCUAAAGUGUAAUUCUAAAAUGCCUCAUCCAUAUAUACAGACUGCUAUCGCAUACUGUUUGAUCCAUUAAUUAUUUGGUAAUAAAAUAAGAAAUCAUUCUCAUCGCAGAACUAAGUUAGGAAACCAGUUUUGGAAUAUGUAUAUUGUGGCUUCUUAAUGGCCAUCAUCUUGACUAAAGCUCAAUGCUGCAUAUGUUGUCACGCUUCUAUAUUUAAAUUGUUGUCUUCAGUUAACUCAUCUUUCUUGUUUACCUCAGAUAAGACCCAUUCUAUGUGUGUGUGUGUAGUUAUUUAUAAAAUACUUGUUAUUGAUGGUUUUUGCCUGUCAUGCUUAUAACUAAAGUUGCAUGAAGUUUCACUUAUCAUUCAUGCUCUUAAAGAUCUGCUCUGUUUUAUUAUUUCUCAACUUAUCAAUUAAUUUCAGUAAUAUACAUUUCAAUUCAUUCGUUGAUGUGUCAGAAGUUUUUUGUUUUUGUAGGCAUGCAAUUCUUAUCUAUCUUGCUUGUGCAUUUCCUGUAAGUUAUUUUAAUAUAUUUUUAUUUAUUUCAUUGUGCAAUUAUCCAACAAAUGGGAUUGUUCCAGUGCUCGGCUAGAAACCUCAAAAUUUAUCAUUUGCAUAGAAUGAGGGAACCCAAGAAAAGAAAUGAAAAAAUAAGCUCAUUCAAUUGGUGAUGUUAAUUUCCUGGAAAGUCUCAACUUUUUUUGGUAUCCAAACACUUUCCUAGAGCAGUAACCUUUGGCAUUUGCUUUUCCUUUAGUUCCUACUCCUAUGUAUACCUCUCUGAUCUUAUAGGCGGAUGUUGAGAAAGGAGCUAGAUGGCUUAAACUUCAAUGAGCUCCAGAACCUAGAGGACCAGUUGAGUGAAGGGGUAUUAACAAUGAAGGACAAGCCAAACUUGGUGGUCAUGGUUCUUUGUUCUGUAUGCUUGUAAUUAUCAAGUAUUAAGCUGGUUCUUAUCAUUUUAUUACCAA